ACUUUACAAUGCGGGAAACCGCGAUAAGGGGAUACUGAGUGCCAGCAUCUUAUGUUGGCUGUCCGCAUGUAUAAAUAGCAUGUGUUAGCAAGGGCCGGGCAAGACCGGUGCCAGCCGCCGCGGUAACACCGGCGGCCCGAGUGGUGGCCACUAUUAUUGGGUCUAAAGGGUCCGUAGCCGGUUUGAUCAGUCUUCCGGGAAAUCUGACAGCUCAACUGUUAGGCUUCCGGGGGAUACUGUCAGACUUGGGACCGGGAGAGGUAAGAGGUACUACAGGGGUAGGAGUGAAAUCUUGUAAUCCUUGUGGGACCACCAGUGGCGAAGGCGUCUUACCAGAACGGGUCCGACGGUGAGGGACGAAAGCUGGGGGCACGAACCGGAUUAGAUACCCGGGUAGUCCCAGCCGUAAACGAUGCUCGCUAGGUGUCUGGGACGGUGCGACCGUUUCAGGUGCCGCAGGGAAGCCGUGAAGCGAGCCACCUGGGAAGUACGGCCGCAAGGCUGAAACUUAA
RNAcentral lists this ribosomal RNA (512 nucleotides) under uncultured Methanolobus sp. RNAcentral describes it as "bacterial SSU rRNA". It matches the Rfam family "Archaeal small subunit ribosomal RNA", at positions 347 to 859 of the family's 1478-position model. The record is from RNAcentral. Lineage: Archaea; Methanobacteriati; Methanobacteriota; Methanomicrobia; Methanosarcinales; Methanosarcinaceae.